This 549-nucleotide ribosomal RNA is filed under the name uncultured bacterium. Its description in RNAcentral is "bacterial SSU rRNA". It matches the Rfam family "Bacterial small subunit ribosomal RNA", at positions 356 to 896 of the family's 1533-position model. The record is from RNAcentral.
AGGGAAUCUUCGGCAAUGGACGGAAGUCUGACCGAGCAACGCCGCGUGAGUGAAGAAGGUUUUCGGAUCGUAAAGCUCUGUUGUAAGAGAAGAAUGAGUGUGAGAGUGGAAAGUUCACACUGUGACGGUAUCUUACCAGAAAGGGACGGCUAACUACGUGCCAGCAGCCGCGGUAAUACGUAGGUCCCGAGCGUUGUCCGGAUUUAUUGGGCGUAAAGCGAGCGCAGGCGGUUAGAUAAGUCUGAAGUUAAAGGCUGUGGCUUAACCAUAGUACGCUUUGGAAACUGUUUAACUUGAGUGCAAGAGGGGAGAGUGGAAUUCCAUGUGUAGCGGUGAAAUGCGUAGAUAUAUGGAGGAACACCGGUGGCGAAAGCGGCUCUCUGGCUUGUAACUGACGCUGAGGCUCGAAAGCGUGGGGAGCAAACAGGAUUAGAUACCCUGGUAGUCCACGCCGUAAACGAUGAGUGCUAGGUGUUAGACCCUUUCCGGGGUUUAGUGCCGUAGCUAACGCAUUAAGCACUCCGCCUGGGGAGUACGACCGCAAGGUUG